GUGGGGAAUAUUGGACAAUGGGCGCAAGCCUGAUCCAGCAAUGCCGCGUGUGUGAAGAAGGCCUGAGGGUUGUAAAGCACUUUCAGUGGGGAGGAAAGACCCAAAGUUAAUAUCUUUGGGAGUUGACGUUACCCACAGAAGAAGCACCGGCUAACUCUGUGCCAGCAGCCGCGGUAAUACAGAGGGUGCAAGCGUUAAUCGGAGUUACUGGGCGUAAAGCGUGCGUAGGUGGAAACUCAAGUCGGGUGUGAAAGCCCCGGGCUCAACCUGGGAACUGCAUUCGAUACUGGGUUACUAGAGUAUGGUAGAGGAAAGUGGAAUUUCCGGUGUAGCGGUGAAAUGCGUAGAUAUCGGAAAGAACAUCAGUGGCGAAGGCGACUUUCUGGACCAAUACUGACACUGAGGCACGAAAGCGUGGGGAGCAAACAGG
RNAcentral lists this ribosomal RNA (430 nucleotides) under uncultured bacterium. RNAcentral's name for it is "bacterial SSU rRNA". It matches the Rfam family "Bacterial small subunit ribosomal RNA", at positions 354 to 776 of the family's 1533-position model. The record is from RNAcentral.